Molecule: ribosomal RNA, 253 nt
Filed under: uncultured bacterium
Lineage: Bacteria
Description: partial 16S ribosomal RNA
Rfam family: Bacterial small subunit ribosomal RNA
Source: RNAcentral
UACGAAGGUGGCAAGCGUUACUCGGAAUUACUAGGCGUAAAGGGCAGGUAGGUGGUUCAGUAAGUCUGUCGUGGAAGCUGCCGGCUUAACCGGGAGAGGCCAACGGAAACUACUGAACUUGAGUGUAGGAGAGGGUAUUGGAAUUCCCGGUGUAGCGGUGAAAUGCGCAGAGAUCGGGAGGAACACCAAUGGCGAAAGCAGAUACCUGGACUAUUACUGACACUAAGCUGCGAAAGCUAGGGGAGCAAACAGG